ACUGCUAUCGGGAUAGGACUAAGACAUGCUAGUCAAGCGCUCGCCAGCCAAAGGUGAGUGCGGCGCACAGCUCAGUAACACGUGGCUAACCUGCCCUUGGGACGGGGACACCCCCGGGAAACUGGGGUUAAUCCCCGAUAGGUGAAGACCUCUGGAAUGAAUCUCCGCCCAAAAGGCGCUUGCGCUAUGUUCGUAGGUGUCGCCCAAGGAUGGGGCCGCGACCGAUCAGGUUGUUGGUGAGGUAAUGGCUCACCAAGCCUUUUACCGGUGCGGGCCGUGGGAGCGGGAGCCCGGAGAUGGGCACUGAGACAAGGGCCCAGGCCCUACGGGGCGCAGCAGUCGCGAAAACUUUGCAAUACACGAAAGUGUGACAGGGCUAUCCCGAGUGCCAUCCGCUGAGGAAGGCUUUUACCCAGUUUAGAACGCUGGGAGAAUAAGGAGAGGGCAAGACUGGUGUCAGCCGCCGCGGUAAUACCAGCUCUCCGAGUGGUGUGGAUGUUUAUUGGGCCUAAAGCAUCCGUAGCUGGCUGGACAAGUACCCUGUUAAAUCCACCGAUUUAAUCGUUGGAAUGCGGGGGAUACUGCUCGGCUAGGGGACGGGAGAGGCAGACGGUAUUUCCGGGGUAGGGGUGAAAUCCUAUAAUCCCGGGAAGACCACCAGUGGCGAAGGCUGUCUGCUAGAACGUGCCCGACGGUGAGGGAUGAAAGCUGGGGGAGCGAACCGGAUUAGAUACCCGGGUAGUCCCAGCUGUAAACGAUGCAGGCUAGGUGUUUGGGCGGCCACGUGCCGCUCUAGUGCCGCAGGGAAGCGUUAAGCCUGCCGCCUGGGGAGUACGGCCGCAAGGCUGAAACUUAAAGGAAUUGGCGGGGGAGCACCACAAGGGGUGAAG
This 890-nucleotide ribosomal RNA is filed under the name uncultured archaeon. Its description in RNAcentral is "bacterial SSU rRNA". It matches the Rfam family "Archaeal small subunit ribosomal RNA", at positions 26 to 893 of the family's 1478-position model. The record is from RNAcentral.